AUGAACGAUGUUGGCUUGCAGCACCCUGUUGUUGAUGAGACCAGUCAUAAUGUUGAGGCUGAUGUUGACCGUGGAGUUAAUGAUCCAUCCACUGAUAAGUGCAAGGGUGCUAUUGUUGGCGAUGAGCCUUGUUUGCCUGUUGGUGAUGUUGCUUUGAAUGUUAGCAGCAGCAAGUUCGAUGAUGUUGCAGCGAAUGCUUCCAAGAUUACUGAUGUUGAACAUGGGGUUGUCCUUAGUGGUGGAGAUGAUGCUCGUGAUGUUCCAUUGAGUAGUGGGCCCAAUGUUGGUUCCAAAGUUGCUGAUGAGGAUGCUGGUGCUGCCAGCAUACUUGAUUCCAAAUCGCCUGGUGUUGGUAUUGCUGGGAAUGAAAAUGUUUCUGGUUGUGAAGAUUUGCCGCCGGAGAAUUUGCCGCCUGGAGGUCUUGAUUACGGUGAUGCAUUGCAAGAUGCUUCUAGCGUGGAGGAGGUUCCAUCUGAGGAUGAUGAUUUACUUCUAUCAAUUUCUUCUGACCCCUUGACGCAGGAGGCGCUCUUGUCGUCCCAGGAUUUUCUUUCUAUAGACCCUAAAAGUGCAGCAAUAUUGGUGUCCUCUCAAGAUGUCCCAUCGUCAAACCUUGAAACUGGAGGCAUAAUGGUCUCAUCACAGGAACUACCAUCAUCGUCAAAACCUAAUAGUCCAGAAAGUGAUAAUGUUGUUAAGGUUGAUACAUUUUUGUUCGCUGUUACGAGGUUGCGCAUGAACCGUACUAAAUGUCACAAGCCGAUGUUUCAAAAUAAAGAAUGUGAUGCCAGUGUUGGUUCUAUUGCUAAAGCGUUUGUCCCCACUGGCAUGCUCAACUCAGACAGUGCUGAUGUUGUUUUAUAUUCUCUACGUCAGAGGUACCGAGACACUGACAAGUUGAUAGUUCCCAGAUGGACCAAGAUCCGUGAUGGAAAUAUUGAUUCCAAUGUGUUAAAUUGGUCCACGAGAUCAGGUGCUGAUGGUUUCGACCAAUGGGGUGAUGCAGUUAGAUUCUUAAGGAAUAUGACAGAUAAUAUAAAGAAGCUUUGA
RNAcentral lists this ribosomal RNA (1050 nucleotides) under Triticum aestivum (bread wheat). RNAcentral's name for it is "partial small subunit ribosomal RNA". The record is from RNAcentral. Lineage: Eukaryota; Viridiplantae; Streptophyta; Magnoliopsida; Poales; Poaceae.